Molecule: non-coding RNA, 21 nt
Organism: Caenorhabditis elegans
Lineage: Eukaryota; Metazoa; Nematoda; Chromadorea; Rhabditida; Rhabditidae
Source: Ensembl
UCCAAUACGAGAAACAAAACC